CCCGCAGUUUAAAGACUUAACUCAGCGGCUUUCAGGGCCUGUGGUUGAGGGACUCCGAAAGAACUGUUGCUGGUGGACCGGUUCAGGGUCUUGACUUCGCCACACAAAAGAACUUGAGAGCACGUCCAAAGUAAAGCUAAGACCUCUAGUACAGUGUUCAAUGGAACUGGUGAGAAAAGACGUCCUUGCUGUGUUCCUGAUAUGAAGAGGAAAGCAGUCCUUCUCCAUUAAAUGCUGACAACAUGAGCCUCCCGUGGUCGGAACGGGCUUGUGAAGGCGGUGCUGGGGUGCACCAGGGCAGCAGCUACAGUCAUGCCGUGAGGGCCCAGAGACUGUGUCACUGUUGUGAUGAUAGAGUGCAGGGCCCUUCAAAGGGAGGUCUGUGGGCCAGCAGCACCCAAGGGCUCUCCUCCCAAGCACCCAACGAGCAAGAUGGGUCUGAGGAUACCUGUGAGAAGUAAUUCAACACAUCUUUCACACAUGGGCCAAUUUGCUGGUCUAAGUUAAAUUGGAGUGACAAGGACAGCUGCUUAAAGACAAGCUACAGAUGACAGAGCCGAGGUCGUCUCCUCCAGGUCCCAGAGCUGCUAUGUGGCUGAGCUGCAGUUCAGAGCCAGGGUGACUCAGCUUGCAAGCCUGUGCUCCUCACCUCCGUGGCAUGCUUCUCCCAGGCUGGCACUGAAUCACCGGAAGGACUCCUUAAGACAUGGAUAGGGGAUCCACCCCAGAGGUCCUGAAUCAGCAAGUCUGGGGAGGAGACUGAGAAUUGACUUUUCUAUCAAGUUCCCCAGUGAUGCUGAUGCUGCUGGUGUGCGUACCACGUUCUGGAACCUCCGCUCCCUGCUCUAGGGCCUUCUGGGUGGAGCCCUAGAGCUGAGCUCCCAGCUGUGGGCAUGGCAGGCACUGAAGAGUGUUGCUUUAGGGUAAUGUGUUAACAGUCUAAGAAGGUGCGUGGUGAGUAGGCUGACCAUUUCUCUCUCUUAUUGAACAAAAUAUUGCUAAGCCCUGGAUUUUCUCAGCUGUAAAUCACUGAAAUCUGAAUAAAAUUACCCCUACAAUGAAUCAAUCAAUAGAUUAAAA
This 1080-nucleotide long non-coding RNA is filed under the name Homo sapiens (human). Its description in RNAcentral is "MIR646 host gene". Lineage: Eukaryota; Metazoa; Chordata; Mammalia; Primates; Hominidae. The record is from RNAcentral.